GUAGGUGGCAAGCGUUGUCCGGAAUUAUUGGGCGUAAAGCGCGCGCAGGCGGUUCUUUAAGUCUGAUGUGAAAGCCCACGGCUCAACCGUGGAGGGUCAUUGGAAACUGGAGAACUUGAGUACAGAAGAGGAAAGCGGAAUUCCACGUGUAGCGGUGAAAUGCGUAGAGAUGUGGAGGAACACCAGUGGCGAAGGCGGCUUUCUGGUCUGUAACUGACGCUGAGGCGCGAAAGCGUGGGGAGCAAACAGGGAUUAGAUACCCUGGUAGUCCACGCCGUAAACGAUGAGUGCUAAGUGUUAGGGGGCUUUCCGCCCCCCUUAGUGCUGCAGCUAACGCAUUAAGCACUCCGCCUGGGAGUACGGCCGCAAGGCUG
Molecule: ribosomal RNA, 374 nt
Filed under: uncultured organism
Description: partial 16S ribosomal RNA
Rfam family: Bacterial small subunit ribosomal RNA
Source: RNAcentral